GACGAACGCUGGCGGCGUGCUUAACACAUGCAAGUCGAACGGAAAGGCCCUGCUUUUGUGGGGUGCUCGAGUGGCGAACGGGUGAGUAACACGUGAGUAACCUGCCCUUGACUUUGGGAUAACUUCAGGAAACUGGGGCUAAUACCGGAUAGGAGCUCCUGCUGCAUGGUGGGGGUUGGAAAGUUUCGGCGGUUGGGGCUGGACUCGCGGCUUAUCAGCUUGUUGGUGGGGUAGGGGCUUACCAAGGCUUUGACGGGUAGCCGGCCUGAGAGGGUGACCGGCCACAUUGGGACUGAGAUACGGCCCAGACUCCUACGGGAGGCAGCAGUGGGGAAUAUUGCACAAUGGGCGGAAGCCUGAUGCAGCAACGCCGCGUGCGGGAUGACGGCCUUCGGGUUGUAAACCGCUUUCGCCUGUGACGAAGCGUGAGUGACGGUAAUGGGAAAAGAAGCACCGGCUAACUACGUG
This 468-nucleotide ribosomal RNA is filed under the name uncultured bacterium. RNAcentral describes it as "partial 16S ribosomal RNA". It matches the Rfam family "Bacterial small subunit ribosomal RNA", at positions 28 to 507 of the family's 1533-position model. The record is from RNAcentral.